Rhizobium sp. Root564 is the source of this 122-nucleotide non-coding RNA. The record is from Rfam. Lineage: Bacteria; Pseudomonadati; Pseudomonadota; Alphaproteobacteria; Hyphomicrobiales; Rhizobiaceae.
AAGCAUCGAAGCGACGCACUCCUCCUCCCAGCGUCGCCCGAUUGGACUGACAGCACUCCUCCUCCCAGUUGUCAGUCAGUUUUAAAAACCCGGCGCACCUCCUCCCGCGCCGGGUUUUUUAU